UACGGAGGGUGCGAGCGUUAAUCGGAAUUACUGGGCGUAAAGCGCACGCAGGCGGUUUGNUAAGCUAGAUGUGAAAGCCCCGGGCUCAACCUGGGAUGGUCAUUUAGAACUGGCAGACUAGAGUCUUGGAGAGGGGAGUGGAAUUCCAGGUGUAGCGGUGAAAUGCGUAGAUAUCUGGAGGAACAUCAGUGGCGAAGGCGACUCCCUGGCCAAAGACUGACGCUCAUGUGCGAAAGUGUGGGGAGCGAACAGG
Molecule: ribosomal RNA, 253 nt
Filed under: uncultured bacterium
Lineage: Bacteria
Description: partial 16S ribosomal RNA
Rfam family: Bacterial small subunit ribosomal RNA
Source: RNAcentral